This 123-nucleotide non-coding RNA is filed under the name Andreesenella acetica. Its description in RNAcentral is "Clostridium aceticum Glycine sequence". It matches the Rfam family "Glycine riboswitch aptamer". Rfam says of the family: This family represents the bacterial glycine riboswitch. Glycine riboswitches usually consist of two metabolite-binding aptamers domains with similar structures in tandem. The record is from Rfam by way of RNAcentral. Lineage: Bacteria; Bacillati; Bacillota; Clostridia; Peptostreptococcales; Natronincolaceae.
AAGAAAAGUGCGGGAGAGAUCUAAAGAAUCUGUUUUUAAAAAAAUUCUUUAGGCGCCGAAGGAACAAGCUGAAAAUUCGCCAUUUUUAGUGAAUAUCUCAGGCAAAAGGACCGUAUUUGGACA